UUAUUUGGAUACUUAAGUGACCAGACUGGAGGUAAGGUCCCUGGUCGAGCAUUGCUCUCGGGGCGCCAGUCUUAUUGGAUUAAGAGAGCCAAAAUGGCUGUUAGAAUUUGGGGUUAGGGUUCUAUUUAGCCACACGUCCCGUGAAAGUAAAAAUGUCUUUAUUUAUUUACACUCUCUCCUUUUAUCAUUUUAUUAUUAUGGUGUAUGAUUUUAUAUUAU
RNAcentral lists this long non-coding RNA (219 nucleotides) under Ricinus communis (castor bean). RNAcentral's name for it is "long non-coding RNA (RCOM_LNC001157)". Lineage: Eukaryota; Viridiplantae; Streptophyta; Magnoliopsida; Malpighiales; Euphorbiaceae. The record is from RNAcentral.